GCCUCUUUAGCUCAGUUGGUAGAGCAGCUGAUUCGUAAUUAGCAGGUCGGGGGUUCAAGUCCCCUGAGAGGCU
Molecule: transfer RNA, 73 nt
Filed under: bacterium
Lineage: Bacteria
Also listed under: 3 other names
Description: tRNA-Thr
Rfam family: tRNA
About the family: Transfer RNA (tRNA) molecules are approximately 80 nucleotides in length. Their secondary structure includes four short double-helical elements and three loops (D, anti-codon, and T loops).
Source: RNAcentral